Molecule: ribosomal RNA, 23 nt
Filed under: Prorocentrum mexicanum
Lineage: Eukaryota; Dinophyceae; Prorocentrales; Prorocentraceae
Description: partial large subunit ribosomal RNA
Source: RNAcentral
CAAGACAUGAAGUUAGGUCACAA